GGGAGUUGAGAGGGUGAUUGCUCUUUUCUCUUGAUUUCUUCAUUUUAGUGGGUGGAUGAAGGGAGGAGGCUAGUCCUCAUCUUGUGAAGAUUAUGCAUUCAUGAUUUAGUUGUGUUUUGAUGUCUCAAUUCGUGCAAAAAUCUUUCAUUCCUGAGUGUUUUUCUUUUUCGGUAUUUUCGGAGCUAUUUUCGGGGAUUUUUCAUUCUUCGCGUUUGAUCUCAAAUCCCGUGAGAUUUGUUGGGGGGAAAUGUUGCUAGGAUCCUUGUGAGCAUCUUUGAUGUGAUCCCCCUCAAACCCCCACGGAUUCAGCUUGAAUUUGAAGUUUUCCCAAAACUCUCUCUCUUUUGUGCUCUUGACCGUAUUCUAUAGAAUCCAUAGUGAAGUUUUGGUCUUUUUGAGGAGAUCUUUUGAGAAAAGACUCACUAGGAUAUUGCGGAGCUAUGGUUAAAAUUUUGUGAAUUUUGGAGGGCAUUUGAUUAAAUUUUGAAGUGUUGACCUAAACUUUUCAGGCUGUUUUUUUGAGCUAUAGGAAGUUCCGACACUGUGUAGGAAGUUCCGAUGUGUUAUUUUUGAAAACCUGUGAGCCCUUUGUCGGUAGUGUUUCA
RNAcentral lists this long non-coding RNA (605 nucleotides) under Setaria viridis. RNAcentral describes it as "long non-coding RNA (SVIR_LNC001962)". The record is from RNAcentral. Lineage: Eukaryota; Viridiplantae; Streptophyta; Magnoliopsida; Poales; Poaceae.